RNAcentral lists this ribosomal RNA (250 nucleotides) under uncultured prokaryote. RNAcentral describes it as "partial 16S ribosomal RNA". It matches the Rfam family "Bacterial small subunit ribosomal RNA", at positions 524 to 773 of the family's 1533-position model. The record is from RNAcentral.
UACGUAGGGUGCAAGCGUUGUCCGGAAUUAUUGGGCGUAAAGAGCUCGUAGGCGGUGUGUCGCGUCUGCCGUGAAAACCUGCGGCUUAACCGUGGGCGUGCGGUGGAUACGGGCACACUUGAGUUCGGUAGGGGAGACUGGAAUUCCUGGUGUAGCGGUGGAAUGCGCAGAUAUCAGGAGGAACACCAGUGGCGAAGGCGGGUCUCUGGGCCGAAACUGACGCUGAGGAGCGAAAGCGUGGGGAGCGAAC